RNAcentral lists this transfer RNA (75 nucleotides) under Trypanosoma brucei equiperdum. RNAcentral describes it as "tRNA-Arg". It matches the Rfam family "tRNA". Rfam says of the family: Transfer RNA (tRNA) molecules are approximately 80 nucleotides in length. Lineage: Eukaryota; Euglenozoa; Kinetoplastea; Trypanosomatida; Trypanosomatidae. The record is from RNAcentral.
UGCUCCAGUGGCCUAAUGGAUAUGGCUUUGGACUUCUAAUCCAAAGGUUGCGGGUUCGAGUCCCGCCGGAGGUAG